AAAACUUUCAACAACGGAUCUCUUGGUUCUGGCAUCGAUGAAGAACGCAGCGAAAUGCGAUAAGUAAUGUGAAUUGCAGAAUUCCGCGAAUCAUCGAAUCUUUGAACGCACAUUGCGCCCUUUGGUAUUCCGAAGGGCAUGCCUGUUCGAGCGUCAUUU
RNAcentral lists this ribosomal RNA (159 nucleotides) under Cryptodiscus galaninae. RNAcentral describes it as "5.8S ribosomal RNA". It matches the Rfam family "5.8S ribosomal RNA". From Rfam's summary of the family: 5.8S ribosomal RNA (5.8S rRNA) is a component of the large subunit of the eukaryotic ribosome. It is transcribed by RNA polymerase I as part of the 45S precursor that also contains 18S and 28S rRNA. Lineage: Eukaryota; Fungi; Ascomycota; Lecanoromycetes; Ostropales; Stictidaceae. The record is from RNAcentral.